AGUGUUUAUCUACACUUCAAGUUUUCCAACGAAAUGAUUCAGGUCAAUAUAAUUUUUCAGCUGCAAGCGCGUGGCAGCGCGUGGUUGCCAGCCUCCACAGAUCAUUGAUCUGCUCAAAAUUAAAACUUAUGACUGAUAUUUCUGAGGUGGAAUUCCAAGAAUAUGAAUACAACACACUGGCCCAUGCAUGUGACCUUCUUCAUAAGCAGUUUGAGGAAGGGCAGGAGACAAAGGCUGAGCUGCAGCGAGGAAUGUCAAAGGCCAACAGCGAAGUUGCUUAGUGAAGAAGAAAAUAUGAAAAUGACGCCAUCCAGCACACUGAGGAGCUUGAAGAGGCCAAGUAUGAACAUCAUAAGAAGAAGAAGUUGGCUCAGUGUCUACAGAAGGCAAAAAAACAAUCUGAGGCCAUAGACUCCAAAUGUGCCUCUCUGGAGAAGACCACCUAUGGUGAGGUCCAAUCAGGACCUCGUGAUUGAUGUGGAGAGAACCAAUGCUUUGGCUGCCAACCUUGACAAAAAAGUAAGAAAUAUGAGUUAUUAUAUGAGAUUCUCUUUCUAAAUCAUUGCUGCAAUGGGUUUUGAAGAUGGUAUAAACAAGCUUGAGCUUGAAAUAUCUUCAUCAAAGGUAGAAUGAAAGUAGAAAUAUGAGGAAGGCUCAUAAGAAUGUAUCUUCUGUAAAUUAUUAAAUGAAACCCUAUUAUUCACCUUUUUUCAUUCACAUCUGAUUUUCAAGAGUGUUGAAUAUGGAGUUUUAAAUGCAUCUUUGCUAUAAA
Long non-coding RNA from Puntigrus tetrazona (Sumatra barb), 772 nucleotides. RefSeq lists it as uncharacterized. The record is from RefSeq and is a predicted model, not a curated record. The transcript is spliced from 3 exons. Lineage: Eukaryota; Metazoa; Chordata; Actinopteri; Cypriniformes; Cyprinidae.